UACGGGGGGGGUAAGCGUUGUUCGGAAUUACUGGGCGUAAAGGGCUCGUAGGCGGCCAACUAAGUCAUACGUGAAAUCCCUCAGCUUAACUGGGGAACUGCGUGUGAUACUGGAUGGCUUGGAUUUGGGAGAGGGAUGCGGAAUUCCAGGUGUAGCGGUGAAAUGCGUAGAUAUCUGGAGGAACACCGGUGGCGAAGGCGGCAUCCUGGACCGGCAUUGACGCUGAGGCGCGAAAGCUAGGGGAGCAAACGGG
RNAcentral lists this ribosomal RNA (253 nucleotides) under uncultured bacterium. RNAcentral describes it as "partial 16S ribosomal RNA". It matches the Rfam family "Bacterial small subunit ribosomal RNA", at positions 524 to 776 of the family's 1533-position model. The record is from RNAcentral.